Molecule: ribosomal RNA, 443 nt
Filed under: uncultured Desulfotomaculum sp.
Lineage: Bacteria; Bacillati; Bacillota; Clostridia; Eubacteriales; Desulfotomaculaceae
Description: bacterial SSU rRNA
Rfam family: Bacterial small subunit ribosomal RNA
Source: RNAcentral
CGACGCAACGCGAAGAACCUUACCAGGGCUUGACAUCUUCUGACCGCUUAAGGAAACUUAAGCUUUCCGGAAGGUUUACUUUCUGGACAGAAAGACAGGUGGUGCAUGGUUGUCGUCAGCUCGUGUCGUGAGAUGUUGGGUUAAGUCCCGCAACGAGCGCAACCCCUACGGUUAGUUGCUAACGGGUAAGGCCGAGCACUUUAGCCGAACUGCCGUUGACAAAACGGAGGAAGGCGGGGAUGACGUCAAAUCAUCAUGCCCUUUAUGUCCUGGGCUACACACGUGCUACAAUGGCCUGUACAAAGGGCAGCAAAGGGGCGACCCGGAGCAAAUCCCAAAAAACAGGUCUCAGUUCGGAUUGCAGGCUGCAACUCGCCUGCAUGAAGGCGGAAUCGCUAGUAAUCGCAGGUCAGCAUACUGCGGUGAAUACGUUCCCGGGCCUU